CCUACGGGGGGCAGCAGUGGGGGAUAUUGCACAAUGGGGGAAACCCUGAUGCAGCGACGCCGCGUGGGUGAAGAAGCGCCUCGGCGCGUAAAGCCCUGUCAGCAGGGAAGAAAACGACGGUACCUGAAGAAGAAGCCCCGGCUAACUACGUGCCAGCAGCCGCGGUAAUACGUAGGGGGCAAGCGUUAUCCGGAUUUACGGGGUGUAAAGGGGGCGCAGACGGGGUUGCAAGCCAGGAGUGAAAGCCCGGGGCCCAACCCCGGGACUGCUCUUGGAACUGCGUGGCUAGAGUGCAGGAGGGGCAGGCGGAAUGCCUGGUGUAGCGGUGAAAUGCGUAGAUAUCAGGAGGAACACCGGUGGCGAAGGCGGCCUGCUGGACUGCAACUGACGUUGAGGCCCGAAAGCGUGGGGAGCAAACAGGAUUAGAUACCCUUGUAGUC
This 440-nucleotide ribosomal RNA is filed under the name uncultured bacterium. Its description in RNAcentral is "partial 16S ribosomal RNA". It matches the Rfam family "Bacterial small subunit ribosomal RNA", at positions 338 to 795 of the family's 1533-position model. The record is from RNAcentral.